UACGGGGGGGGCACGCGUUGUUCGGAAUUCCUGGGCGUAAAGGGUUCGUAGGUGGCCAACUAAGUCAGACGUGAAAUCCCUCGGCUCAACCGGGGAACUGCGUCUGAUACUGGUUGGCUUGAGUGCAGGAGAGGAACGCGGAAUUCCAGGUGUAGCGGUGAAAUGCGUAGAUAUCUGGAGGAACACCGGUGGCGAAGGCGGCGUUCUGGACUGCAACUGACACUGAGGAACGAAAGCCAGGGGAGCAAACGGG
Molecule: ribosomal RNA, 253 nt
Filed under: uncultured bacterium
Lineage: Bacteria
Description: partial 16S ribosomal RNA
Rfam family: Bacterial small subunit ribosomal RNA
Source: RNAcentral